Molecule: long non-coding RNA, 360 nt
Filed under: Fukomys damarensis (Damara mole-rat)
Lineage: Eukaryota; Metazoa; Chordata; Mammalia; Rodentia; Bathyergidae
Description: lncRNA (ENSFDAG00000027039.1)
Source: RNAcentral
AUGACUUGGACACAGGACAACAAAGGGUCCCCGCUCCCAUCUCAAAUGCAAAGUGUGGCCUCUUUUCAUCCUCCCUGGUCUAGCCACUCUGCUUUUGUUCUCUCAAUUAAGACUUCUUAGACCUCCCGCAGAGAUGUGUGGAUCUGUCACCUCGGAAGGCGGCUGUGUGGCGUUUCUCAGCGAGGAUCCUCCAUGUGGCUCGCAGCGGUAACCCACCACCUCUGGGAAUAUGUUCCUCCCCAGUGAUCUCUGAGUCGACAGCCCAUACGGAACCCUGCACGUACUGUUUUUUUUUUUCUUGUACAUAUCUAUGAUAAAGUUGAAUUUAUAAAUUAGGCACGGUAAGGGAUGAACACCACA